UGAGGAAUAUUGCCCAAUGGACGCAAGUCUGAGGCAGCAACGCCGCGUGGGCGACGAAGGCCUUCGGGUUGUAAAGCCCUUUUCUGGGGGACGAGAAAGGACGGUACCUCAGGAAUAAGUCACGGCUAACUACGUGCCAGCAGCCGCGGUAAUACGGAGGGUGCAAGCGUUGUUCGGAUUUACUGGGCGUAAAGGGCGUGUAGGCGGUUAGCUAAGUCAGAUGUGAAAGCCCUUGGCUUAACCAAGGAAGAGCAUUUGAAACUAGCUGACUGGAGUACAGGAGAGGAAAGUGGAAUUCCCAGUGUAGAGGUGAAAUUCAUAGAUAUUGGGAGGAACACCGGUAGCGAAGGCGGCUUUCUGGCCUGAUACUGACGCUGAGACGCGAAAGCGUGGGGAGCAAACAGGAUUAGAUACCCUGGUAGUCCACGCCGUAAACUAUGGGCACUAGGUGUAGGAAGUGUUGACCCUUUCUGUGCCGAAGCUAACGCAUUAAGUGCCCCGCCUGGGGAGUACGGUCGCAAGGCUA
RNAcentral lists this ribosomal RNA (526 nucleotides) under uncultured bacterium. RNAcentral describes it as "bacterial SSU rRNA". It matches the Rfam family "Bacterial small subunit ribosomal RNA", at positions 355 to 896 of the family's 1533-position model. The record is from RNAcentral.